CGGCGCACGGGUGCGUAACGCGUAUGCAAUCUACCUUUUACAGAGGGAUAGCCCAGAGAAAUUUGGAUUAAUACCUCAUAGUAUUAUGAAGUGGCAUCACUUUAUAAUUAAAGUCACAACGGUAAAAGAUGAGCAUGCGUCCCAUUAGCUUGUUGGUAAGGUAACGGCUUACCAAGGCAACGAUGGGUAGGGGUCCUGAGAGGGAGAUCCCCCACACUGGUACUGAGACACGGACCAGACUCCUACGGGAGGCAGCAGUGAGGAAUAUUGGUCAAUGGGCGCAAGCCUGAACCAGCCAUGCCGCGUGCAGGAUGAAGCAUCUAUGGUGUGUAAACUGCUUUUGUACGAGAAGAAACACUCCUUCGUGAAGGAGCUUGACGGUAUCGUAAGAAUAAGGACCGGCUAACUCCGUGCCAGCAGCCGCGGUAAUACGGAGGGUCCAAGCGUUAUCCGGAAUCAUUGGGUUUAAAGGGUCCGUAGGCGGUCUUGUAAGUCAGUGGUGAAAGCCCAUCGCUCAACGGUGGAACGGCCAUUGAUACUGCAAGACUUGAAUUAUUGGGAAGCAACUAGAAUAUGUAGUGUAGCGGUGAAAUGCUUAGAUAUUACAUGGAAUACCAAUUGCGAAGGCAGGUUGCUACCAAUACAUUGACGCUGAUGGACGAAAGCGUGGGGAGCGAACAGGAUUAGAUACCCUGGUAGUCCACGCCGUAAACGAUGGAUACUAGCUGUUCGGAGCAAUCUGAGUGGCUAAGCGAAAGUGAUAAGUAUCCCACCUGGGGAGUACGUUCGCAAGAAUGAAACUCAAAGGAAUUGACGGGGGCC
This 822-nucleotide ribosomal RNA is filed under the name uncultured bacterium. RNAcentral's name for it is "bacterial SSU rRNA". It matches the Rfam family "Bacterial small subunit ribosomal RNA", at positions 96 to 921 of the family's 1533-position model. The record is from RNAcentral.